UACAGAGGGUGCGAGCGUUGUUCGGAAUUAUUGGGCGUAAAGGGCGCGUAGGCGGCGCGGUAAGUCACCUGUGAAAUCUCCUGGCUCAACUGGGAGCUUGCAGGCGAAACUGCCGUGCUGGAGUGUGGGAGAGGUGCGUGGAAUUCCUGGUGUAGCGGUGAAAUGCGUAGAUAUUGGGAGGAACACCAGUGGCGAAGGCGGCUCACUGGACCGGUUCUGACGCUGAAGCGCGAAAGCGUGGGGAGCAAACGGG
Molecule: ribosomal RNA, 253 nt
Filed under: uncultured bacterium
Lineage: Bacteria
Description: partial 16S ribosomal RNA
Rfam family: Bacterial small subunit ribosomal RNA
Source: RNAcentral